UGCCAGCAGCCGCGGUAAUUCCAGCUCCAAUAGCGUAUAUUAAAAUUGUUGCGGUUAAAACGCUCGUAGUUGGAUAUCUGCCAAGGAGUUUCGGUCCUCCCCAGUGGAGAAUACGCGGAACAUUUCUUGGCACUUGUUCAGGGAAGGUGUUUGCACUUUGUUGUGCGUCACGUGAUCUGAAUUUUUACUUUGAGGAAAUGAGAGUGUUUCAAGCAGGCUUUUGCCGUGAAUAUGAUAGCAUGGAAUAAUAGCACAGGACCCCUUUCCAAAGCUGUUGGUUUUUGGAACGAGGUAAUCAUAAUAAGGACAGUUGGGGGUAUUCGUAUUUAACUGUCAGAGGUGAAAUUCUUGGAUUUUUUAAAGACGAACUAUUGCGAAGGCAUCUGCCCAGGAUGUUUUUGUUGAUCAAGAACGAAAGUUAGGGGAUCGAAGACGAUCAGAUACCGUCCUAGUCUUAACCUUAAACUAUGCCGACUGGAGAUUGGAGUCGUCAGUCCUUGACGUCUUCAGCAUCCUGAGAGAAAUCUAAGUCUUUGGGUUCCGGGGGGAGUAUGGCCGCAAGGCUGAAACUUAAAGGAAUUGACGGAAGGGCACCACCAGGAGUGGAGCCUGCGGCUUAAUUUGACUCAACACGGGAAAACUUACCAGGUCCAGACAUAGAUAGGAUUGACAGACUGAUAGCUCUUUCUUAAUUCUAUGGGUGGUGGUGCAUGGGCCGUUCUUAGUUGGUGGAGUGAUUUGUCUGGUUAAUUCCGUUAACGAACGAGACCUUAACCUGCUAAAUAGUUUCCAAAACUUCGGUUUUCGGCUUACUUCUUAGAGGGACUUCGUGUGUUUAACAUGAGGAAGUUUGAGGCAAUAACAGGUCUGUGAUGCCCA
RNAcentral lists this ribosomal RNA (879 nucleotides) under uncultured eukaryote. RNAcentral's name for it is "SSU rRNA". It matches the Rfam family "Eukaryotic small subunit ribosomal RNA", at positions 565 to 1473 of the family's 1831-position model. The record is from RNAcentral.